This 117-nucleotide non-coding RNA is filed under the name Gorilla gorilla gorilla (western lowland gorilla). Lineage: Eukaryota; Metazoa; Chordata; Mammalia; Primates; Hominidae. The record is from Rfam by way of RNAcentral.
GCCGGGCGCGGUGGCUCACGCCUGUAAUCCCAGCACUUUGGGAGGCCGAGGCGGGAGGAUCACCUGAGGUCGGGAGUUCGAAAUUAGCCUGACCAACAUGGAGAAACCCCGUCUCUA